RNAcentral lists this ribosomal RNA (336 nucleotides) under uncultured bacterium. RNAcentral describes it as "bacterial SSU rRNA". It matches the Rfam family "Bacterial small subunit ribosomal RNA", at positions 72 to 422 of the family's 1533-position model. The record is from RNAcentral.
AAGUGGAGCAAUCCAUGAGUAAAGUGGCGACCGGGUGAGUAACACGUGACUAACCUACCUUCGAGUGGGGGAUAACCUCGGGAAACCGAGGCUAAUACCGCAUAAUAUCGCAAGAUCAAAGCAGCAAUGCGCUGGAAGAGGGGGUCGCGGCUGAUUAGCUAGUUGGCGGGGUAACGGCCCACCAAGGCGAAGAUCGGUAGCCGGCCUGAGAGGGCGCACGGCCACACUGGAACUGAAACACGGUCCAGACUCCUACGGGAGGCAGCAGUGGGGAAUUUUGCGCAAUGGGGGAAACCCUGACGCAGCAACGCCGCGUGGAGGAUGAAGCCCCUUGGG